RNAcentral lists this ribosomal RNA (429 nucleotides) under Actinomycetes bacterium. RNAcentral describes it as "Actinobacteria bacterium partial 16S ribosomal RNA". It matches the Rfam family "Bacterial small subunit ribosomal RNA", at positions 355 to 776 of the family's 1533-position model. The record is from RNAcentral. Lineage: Bacteria; Bacillati; Actinomycetota; Actinomycetes.
UAGGGAAUCUUCCGCAAUGGGCGAAAGCCUGACGGAGCAACGCCGCGUGAGUGAUGAAGGUCUUCGGAUCGUAAAACUCUGUUAUUAGGGAAGAACAAAUGUGUAAGUAACUAUGCACGUCUUGACGGUACCUAAUCAGAAAGCCACGGCUAACUACGUGCCAGCAGCCGCGGUAAUACGUAGGUGGCAAGCGUUAUCCGGAAUUAUUGGGCGUAAAGCGCGCGUAGGCGGUUUUUUAAGUCUGAUGUGAAAGCCCACGGCUCAACCGUGGAGGGUCAUUGGAAACUGGAAAACUUGAGUGCAGAAGAGGAAAGUGGAAUUCCAUGUGUAGCGGUGAAAUGCGCAGAGAUAUGGAGGAACACCAGUGGCGAAGGCGACUUUCUGGCCUGUAACUGACGCUGAUGUGCGAAAGCGUGGGGAUCAAACAGG